This 314-nucleotide ribosomal RNA is filed under the name uncultured bacterium. RNAcentral's name for it is "bacterial SSU rRNA". It matches the Rfam family "Bacterial small subunit ribosomal RNA", at positions 775 to 1094 of the family's 1533-position model. The record is from RNAcentral.
GGAUUAGAUACCCGGGUAGUCUUGGCCCUAAACGAUGUUCACUAGGUGUCGGGGAUUUUCUUCGGUGCCGCAGCUAACGCAUUAAGUGAACCGCCUGGGGACUACGACCGCAAGGUUGAAACUCAAAGGAAUUGGCGGGGGCCCGCACAAGCGGUGGAGCAUGUGGCUUAAUUCGAUGCAACGCGAAGAACCUUACCAGGGUUUGACAUGUAACUGCAAGCUCCCGAAAUGGAGUCGCUUUCGAAGGUGUUACACAGGUGGUGCAUGGCUGUCGUCAGCUCGUGUUGUGAAAUGUUGGGUUAAGUCCCGCAACG